This 183-nucleotide ribosomal RNA is filed under the name uncultured bacterium. RNAcentral describes it as "partial 16S ribosomal RNA". It matches the Rfam family "Bacterial small subunit ribosomal RNA", at positions 1320 to 1500 of the family's 1533-position model. The record is from RNAcentral.
AUGAAGUCGGAAUUGCUAGUAAUCGCGGAUCAGCAUGCCGCGGUGAAUACGUUCCCGGGCCUUGUACACACCGCCCGUCACACCAUGAGAGUCGGGAACACCCGAAGUCCGUAGUCUAACUUUCACGAGAGGACGCGGCCGAAGGUGGGUUCGAUAAUUGGGGUGAAGUCGUAACAAGGUACC